RNAcentral lists this microRNA precursor (131 nucleotides) under Gossypium hirsutum (cotton). RNAcentral's name for it is "MIR7502 microRNA precursor family". It matches the Rfam family "MIR7502 microRNA precursor family". The record is from Rfam by way of RNAcentral. Lineage: Eukaryota; Viridiplantae; Streptophyta; Magnoliopsida; Malvales; Malvaceae.
UGUUAAACAUUUUAUUCAUUUCUAAUAUUAAAAAUUGGUAUAGUUGACGGACACGUGGUGUACCACGUGUCCCUCAUCUUGAUGUAUAGGGACCAAAUUUUAAUAAUAAAAAUAGACUAAAUUUUCUGAUA